AUGACUACUGAUUUGGCUGAGCAAAAUCCUGCAUUGGUCGAACCAGCAAAACUAAUCCUGAAGAAGUCCAAUGGACUUCCCCUUGCGAUAGUCGCCAUAGGUGGUUUCUUGGCUGAUCAACCAACAAAAACUGCUGCAGAGUGGAGGAAACUGAAUGAGCAUAUCAAUGUUGAGCUGGAGAUGAAUCCAAAGUUUGAAGUCAUAAAAACAGUCCUUAUGAAAAGUUAUGAUGGCCUACCCUAUUACCUCAAACCUUGUUUCCUGUACAUGUCCAUCUUUCCUGAAGACCGGAAUGUUAGUCGGAGACGCUUAACUCACCGGUGGAUCGCUGAAGGUUAUGCGCGAGAUGAGGCCACAGCAAAUAGAUACUUCAUGGAACUCAGAGAGAGAAGCAUGAUAUUACCAACUCAGCAAUAA
Molecule: ribosomal RNA, 417 nt
Filed under: Triticum aestivum (bread wheat)
Lineage: Eukaryota; Viridiplantae; Streptophyta; Magnoliopsida; Poales; Poaceae
Description: partial small subunit ribosomal RNA
Source: RNAcentral